This 191-nucleotide ribosomal RNA is filed under the name Staphylococcus epidermidis. Its description in RNAcentral is "partial 16S ribosomal RNA". It matches the Rfam family "Bacterial small subunit ribosomal RNA", at positions 1350 to 1533 of the family's 1533-position model. The record is from RNAcentral. Lineage: Bacteria; Bacillati; Bacillota; Bacilli; Caryophanales; Staphylococcaceae.
CAGCAUGCUACGGUGAAUACGUUCCCGGGUCUUGUACACACCGCCCGUCACACCACGAGAGUUUGUAACACCCGAAGCCGGUGGAGUAACCAUUUGGAGCUAGCCGUCGAAGGUGGGACAAAUGAUUGGGGUGAAGUCGUAACAAGGUAGCCGUAUCGGAAGGUGCGGCUGGAUCACCUCCUUUCUAAGGA